CCUACGGGAGGCAGCAGUGGGGAAUCUUGCGCAAUGGGCGAAAGCCUGACGCAGCGACGCCGCGUGGGGGAAGAAGGCCUUCGGGUUGUAAACCUCUUUCAGCAGGGACGAAGCCACUCGGGUUAAUAGCCCAGAGGGUGACGGUACCUGCAGAAGAAGCCCCGGCUAACUACGUGCCAGCAGCCGCGGUAAUACGUAGGGGGCAAGCGUUGUCCGGAUUUAUUGGGCGUAAAGAGCGUGUAGGCGGCCAGACAAGUCCGUUGUGAAAACUAGAGGCUUAACCUCUAGACGUCGAUGGAAACUGUUUGGCUAGAGUCCGGAAGAGGAGAAUGGAAUUCCUGGUGUAGCGGUGAAAUGCGCAGAUAUCAGGAAGAACACCCGUGGCUAAGGCGGUUCUCUAGUACGGUACUGACGCUGAGACGCGAAAGCGUGGGGAGCGAACAGGAUUAGAUACCCUGGUAGUCCACGCCGUAAACGAUGGGUGCUAGGUGUGGGGGGUGUCGACUCCUCCGUGCCGAAGCUAACGCAUUAAGCNCCGCCGUCGGAGGUACGGCCGCGACGACGUAACUACAAGAAGUAGACGCGNGAGACGUGCCGACGGACGACGACGAGGGAGGUAGG
This 621-nucleotide ribosomal RNA is filed under the name uncultured bacterium. RNAcentral's name for it is "bacterial SSU rRNA". The stretch from base 1 to 540 matches the Rfam family "Bacterial small subunit ribosomal RNA", at positions 338 to 873 of the family's 1533-position model. The record is from RNAcentral.